Molecule: ribosomal RNA, 329 nt
Filed under: uncultured Bacteroidota bacterium
Lineage: Bacteria; Pseudomonadati; Bacteroidota
Description: bacterial SSU rRNA
Rfam family: Bacterial small subunit ribosomal RNA
Source: RNAcentral
GAUGAACGCUAGCGGGAGGCUUAACACAUGCAAGUCGAGGGGCAUCACGGGGUAGCAAUACUCUGGUGGCGACCGGCGCACGGGUGAGUAACACGUAUGCAACCUACCCUGUACAGGGGGGAUAACCCGGAGAAAUUCGGACUAAUACCCCAUAAAGAUAUUUAGAGGCAUCUUUAAAAUAUUUAAAGCUCAGGCGGUACGGGAUGGGCAUGCGGAACAUUAGCUAGUUGGCAGGGUAACGCCUACCAAGGCUACGAUGUUUAGGGGACCUGAGAGGGUGAUCCCCCACACUGGUACUGAGACACGGACCAGACUCCUACGGGAGGCAG